GACGAACGCUGGCGGCGUGCCUAAUACAUGCAAGUCGAGCGAAUCAAUAGGAGCUUGCUCCUGUUGAUUAGCGGCGGACGGGUGAGUAACACGUGGGCAACCUGCCUGUAAGAUCGGGAUAACUUCGGGAAACCGGAGCUAAUACCGGAUAAUCCUUUUCCACAUAUGUGGGAAAGCUGACAGACGAUUUCGGCUGUCACUUACAGAUGCGCCAGCGGCGCAUAAGCUAGUUGGUGAGGUAACGGCUCACCAAGGCGACGAUGCGUAGCCGACCUGAGAGGGUGAUCGGCCACACUGGGACUGAGACACGGCCCAGACUCCUACGGGAGGCAGCAGUAGGGAAUCUUCCGCAAUGGACGAAAGUCUGACGGAGCAACGCCGCGUGAGCGAUGAAGGCCUUCGGGUCGUAAAGCUCUGUUGUUAGGGAAGAACAAGUAUCGGAGUAACUGCCGGUACCUUGACGGUACCUAACCAGAAAGCCACGGCUAACUACGUGCCAGCCGCCGCGGUAA
This 512-nucleotide ribosomal RNA is filed under the name uncultured bacterium. RNAcentral's name for it is "partial 16S ribosomal RNA". It matches the Rfam family "Bacterial small subunit ribosomal RNA", at positions 28 to 523 of the family's 1533-position model. The record is from RNAcentral.